Molecule: ribosomal RNA, 322 nt
Filed under: uncultured eukaryote
Lineage: Eukaryota
Description: partial 18S ribosomal RNA
Rfam family: Eukaryotic small subunit ribosomal RNA
Source: RNAcentral
CCCUUAGAUGUUCUGGGCCGCACGCGUGCUACACUGAGUGGAUCAGCGGGUCAGGUUGCGCGAAAGUGUUUCCUAAUCUUGAAAUCCGCUCGUGAUGGGGAUUGACGGUUGCAAUUUUCCGUCAUGAACGAGGAAUACCUUGUAAGCGCGGGUCAUCAUCCCGCGCUGAAUACGUCCCUGCCCUUUGUACACACCGCCCGUCGCUCCUACCGAUUGAGUGGUCCGGUGAGGCUUUGGGAUCUGAGCAAAGAGAGCGUUUCGCUCGUUUUGCCCGGAAAACUCAGUCGAACCUUAUCAUUUAGAGGAAGGGGAAGUCGUAACA